Molecule: ribosomal RNA, 586 nt
Filed under: uncultured bacterium
Lineage: Bacteria
Description: bacterial SSU rRNA
Rfam family: Bacterial small subunit ribosomal RNA
Source: RNAcentral
CCUACGGGAGGCAGCAGUGGGGAAUUUUGGACAAUGGACGCAAGUCUGAUCCAGCCAUGCCGCGUGCGGGAAGAAGGCCUUCGGGUUGUAAACCGCUUUUGUCAGGGAAGAAACGGCUCUGGUUAAUACCUGGGGCUAAUGACGGUACCUGAAGAAUAAGCACCGGCUAACUACGUGCCAGCAGCCGCGGUAAUACGUAGGGUGCAAGCGUUAAUCGGAAUUACUGGGCGUAAAGCGUGCGCAGGCGGUUAUGCAAGACAGAUGUGAAAUCCCCGGGCUCAACCUGGGAACUGCAUUUGUGACUGCAUAGCUAGAGUACGGUAGAGGGGGAUGGAAUUCCGCGUGUAGCAGUGAAAUGCGUAGAUAUGCGGAGGAACACCGAUGGCGAAGGCAAUCCCCUGGACCUGUACUGACGCUCAUGCACGAAAGCGUGGGGAGCAAACAGGAUUAGAUACCCUGGUAGUCCACGCCCUAAACGAUGUCAACUGGUUGUUGGGAGGGUUUCUUCUCAGUAACGAAGCUAACGCGUGAAGUUGACCGCCUGGGGAGUACGGCCGCAAGGUUGAAACUUAAAUGAAAUUGACGG